UACGGAGGAUGCAAGCGUUAUCCGGAAUGAUUGGGCGUAAAGCGUCCGCAGGUGGCAGUGUAAGUCUGCUGUCAAAGAGUCACGCUUAACGUGAUAAAGGCAGUGGAAACUACACAGCUAGAGUACGGUCGGGGCAGAAGGAAUUCCUGGUGUAGCGGUGAAAUGCGUAGAGAUCAGGAAGAACACCGGUGGCGAAAGCGUUCUGCUAGUCCUGUACUGACACUGAGGGACGAAAGCUAGGGGAG
RNAcentral lists this ribosomal RNA (245 nucleotides) under uncultured bacterium. RNAcentral's name for it is "partial 16S ribosomal RNA". It matches the Rfam family "Bacterial small subunit ribosomal RNA", at positions 524 to 768 of the family's 1533-position model. The record is from RNAcentral.